This 561-nucleotide ribosomal RNA is filed under the name Escherichia coli. RNAcentral's name for it is "partial 23S ribosomal RNA". It matches the Rfam family "Bacterial large subunit ribosomal RNA", at positions 1328 to 1874 of the family's 2925-position model. Lineage: Bacteria; Pseudomonadati; Pseudomonadota; Gammaproteobacteria; Enterobacterales; Enterobacteriaceae. The record is from RNAcentral.
GCCCGCUCGCCGGAAGACCAAGGGUUCCUGUCCAACGUUAAUCGGGGCAGGGUGAGUCGACCCCUAAGGCGAGGCCGAAAGGCGUAGUCGAUGGGAAACAGGUUAAUAUUCCUGUACUUGGUGUUACUGCGAAGGGGGGACGGAGAAGGCUAUGUUGGCCGGGCGACGGUUGUCCCGGUUUAAGCGUGUAGGCUGGUUUUCCAGGCAAAUCCGGAAAAUCAAGGCUGAGGCGUGAUGACGAGGCACUACGGUGCUGAAGCAACAAAUGCCCUGCUUCCAGGAAAAGCCUCUAAGCAUCAGGUAACAUCAAAUCGUACCCCAAACCGACACAGGUGGUCAGGUAGAGAAUACCAAGGCGCUUGAGAGAACUCGGGUGAAGGAACUAGGCAAAAUGGUGCCGUAACUUCGGGAGAAGGCACGCUGAUAUGUAGGUGAAGCGACUUGCUCGUGGAGCUGAAAUCAGUCGAAGAUACCAGCUGGCUGCAACUGUUUAUUAAAAACACAGCACUGUGCAAACACGAAAGUGGACGUAUACGGUGUGACGCCUGCCCGGUGCCGGAA